AAGACACCACAGACACCACAGACACCACAACCACAAGGACAGACAAACAAAUAGUAACACAAUACUAUAGAGUUGUUAUAGUAGUUAACAUCAUACAGGACAGGUAGUUAUAGUAGUUAUAGUAGUUAUAGUAGUUAACAUCAUACAGGACAGGUAGUUAUAGUAGUUAUAGUAGUUAACAUCAUACAGGACAGGUAGUUAUAGUAGUUAACAUCAUACAGG
Molecule: non-coding RNA, 222 nt
Organism: Salmo salar (Atlantic salmon)
Lineage: Eukaryota; Metazoa; Chordata; Actinopteri; Salmoniformes; Salmonidae
Source: RefSeq, a predicted model, not a curated record